CCCUCGCGGUCCGACCCUCAAACCACCGCGUACCAAACUUUUCGUUGCCUCGGCGGGCCGGGCCUACGCCCACCGCCUCACCCCCCGCUCACCCGGGGAGGCGAGGGGGGUCGCGCCCGCCGCAGGACACCAAAAAAAACCGUUUCGUAUGACGAACGUCUGAUAUUCUUUUAGCGAAUGCUAUAAAGUACAACUUUCAACAAUGGAUCUCUUGGCUCUGGCAUCGAUGAAGAACGCAGCGAAAUGCGAUAACUAGUGUGAAUUGCAGAUUUCAGUGAAUCAUCGAGUCUUUGAACGCACAUUGCGCCCCUUGGUAUUCCUCGGGGCAUGCCUAUUCGAGCGUCGUUUCCACCCUCAAGCUCAGGCUUGGUGUUGGGGAUCGCCCCUCCCUCGCGAGGCGGCGGCCCUUGAAUUCAUCGGCGGUGCCGGUGUGGCCCUGAGCGCAGCAGCGAUGCAGCUCUCGACCCUCCGAAUAGCCGUGCAAGACAGCAGGCGGCGCCCUUCGCGGCCCGCCCGCGAAAAUCCAAACGUCGACCUCGAAUUAGGUAGGGAUACCCGC
RNAcentral lists this ribosomal RNA (559 nucleotides) under Ascomycota sp. MS559. RNAcentral's name for it is "eukaryotic LSU rRNA". The stretch from base 192 to 345 matches the Rfam family "5.8S ribosomal RNA". The record is from RNAcentral. Lineage: Eukaryota; Fungi; Ascomycota.